UACGUAGGUGGCAAGCGUUGUCCGGAAUUAUUGGGCGUAAAGCGCGCGCAGGCGGUCCUUUAAGUCUGAUGUGAAAGCCCACGGCUCAACCGUGGAGGGUCAUUGGAAACUGGGGGACUUGAGUGCAGAAGAGGAAAGUGGAAUUCCACGUGUAGCGGUGAAAUGCGUAGAGAUGUGGGGGAACACCAGUGGCGAAGGCGACUUUCUGGUCUGUAACUGACGCUGAGGCGCGAAAGCGUGGGGAGCAAACAGG
This 253-nucleotide ribosomal RNA is filed under the name uncultured bacterium. Its description in RNAcentral is "partial 16S ribosomal RNA". It matches the Rfam family "Bacterial small subunit ribosomal RNA", at positions 524 to 776 of the family's 1533-position model. The record is from RNAcentral.